This 3212-nucleotide long non-coding RNA is filed under the name Equus asinus (donkey). RNAcentral's name for it is "lncRNA (ENSEASG00005037207.1)". Lineage: Eukaryota; Metazoa; Chordata; Mammalia; Perissodactyla; Equidae. The record is from RNAcentral.
UUUAACGCUGGAAAUUUUUGCUCUAGAAUCAAAACUGACAAGAUUUCUUGAGAGAAAGGUGGAAAAGUGAUUGGAUUUUCUCUGAUUUUGGUCAGCUUGCUGCUUAAAAGAAACAAACAGAAAGCAAACAAAGUUAAAAAUCCAGUUUCUUUCUAAAGCUUACUUCACUGACCGCUCCAAUUAAUUCUCCUCUUUCCUUUUUGCAUGGGGAGCUACUGAGGUACGGCAGAGGGGCUGGACACACUGAAAGCCGUCAACAGGCCCCCCAGGAAUCCCAUCACGUCUUUCAACUUUAGUAUGCCCACUGGGUCCAGGGCUGCUUGGAAAAGAAACAGUGGACAAUGGACAAACGUAUUUCUACCUGCCUCAUUGGACAAGCGCGUUUAUGACCCAGCAGUCACCCAGCAGUGAUCAGCACAUCAUGCUCAAAAGAGUCAAGAAAUUAUGAUAUAAUCUCUGCCUGGAGCUAACCCAGUGAUUUUAGGUUAGAUGCUCGCCAUGAACUCUGUUCCAAUUCCUCAGAAUGGGGUUAGGCUUUGGGUGGCUAUUCAGAGGCCCUGGGUGGCCCAUCGAUGCUGCCAAAUACGCAGGGCAGCAUCCACGAUGAUGGGGCCCUUAAAGAUCACAUGGGGGUCGAAUCUUGCAGCCCUCUAGUUUAACAGAUGGGAGGACUGGGGUGUGGGUCACGCUCCCAAGCUGAGGCACAUUCCAGACUCAGAGCCAGGUCUUUGGUUCUCAGAAUCAGGGAAAACCAGAAGCGGAGAGAUUUAUCCCAUUAAAAAAAAAAAGCUACUUCUUUUGCAAAUUCGCCUUCCUCACCUUGGGAAGGCAGGCCCUACUGGAGCCUUUAUUGUAGUAGAGGCUAAACUGUGUACAAAGGCCAGAGUUUCCCGCAGUACAGGGAAGAGUGGAGCUAUGUGGUUCCCCACAAUGCAGGUCCUAGACUCUAGUGUAGACACUAUAUUGCGCCCUUGUUAGCGCCAAGGACCCUCCCCAGUAGAGUGUCAGAAAGGAGUGUCCUUUGGUGCUUCGCCUCAUUGAGGGCCCUUUGUCCCAAUCCUGGGCCGCAGCUGCCUCUCCCCACGUCCUCCCAUUUACAAAGCGAACCGGGUGUAAACGCAGUGCACCCGUGCACCCGCAGGUUGCGCCUCUCCUGCCCACCGGGUCCCUUCCACGUGGCUCUCAGUUCGGUCCUCUCUCCAGUCCUGUCCUCAGGUCUCGGGGAAACUUAGUUCGUGUGGCCAGCUGAGGUAUCUAUGAAUUUUCCACCUUAUGCUCGGCUCACAUGGCGGACACGAACCGAUCCACCGCGCCGGGAUAGGCGGCCGCAUGGCGAGCAUGGUAGGCGCCUCCGCUACCGCCUCCGAGCUGCCCACCAGGAUUGUAGCAGGGCCCCAGUGCUCCAAACUGGCCGGGCGAUGUGCGCCCAUAGAAGUCCACUGCGGUCUCGACGCCGCCACUGCUGCCACCCGCGGGGGGCGAGGCAGGCCCCCCCAACCGGCCAGCUGCCGCGAAGAGCGCGCUGCCGGCCCCUUGCGGGUACGCGCCGUCGGGGCUCGCGUAGGCGGCCGCAUAGGCAGAGGCGUUGGCGGGUCGGGCCCCCGCGCAGCCGGCGGGCUGGUAGCCGGUGGUAGAGGCGGGGGCGCCAGCCGAGGCAAAGGCGCAGGAACCCGCGGGCCCCGACGGCGCGGGGCCCAGCUCCGGGCUGAGCGGUCGCUCAGGCACCAGGCCGAAGACGCGGCACGGGCCUGGCGACGCAGCGGGGUAGUAGACCGGGGGCGGCGCGGCGAGCGACGGCGGGGCGUAGCCUGCAUAGACGGCGCCGGGGUAAGGCGGGCGCGCAGCGGGCAUCGCGCCCGGGAAGAUGGCGGCGGCGGCGGCGGCGGCGGCUGCAGCGGCGGCGGCCGCCGCGUCGUGCAUGUAGGCCGGACCACCGACUAUUGCCUGUAUCUGGUUCGUGGAACUGCCUCUGAUUUUGGGGGCAUUUGCUGGCCAGAGAUGAUUGACAUCGGCUUUACCUGAUGAAUGACUAAGACCAAGCUCAGGUACACACCUAAGAGAGGACUGUCUGGGUCAGAUGUCUCUAAGCGUCAGGAAUCCGAGUGGAGCUUAGCUGGUGUGGCUGGCAGCAUUGGCCCAUCCGAGCUUGAGGCCGCUUUGGAGUAGUGCCGGAUACGGGAAAACUGGAGAGAAGAAGGAAUAAGAGAGCAGAGGGCUGGAAAAGGGGACAGAAGGAAAGACGAGUUAAGGGACUGGAAAGAAUCAGUGUUUGGAAGAAGGCGGUUGUUGCUAAACCACUUUUCAGGCUGUACUUCUGCUGGAUGGAGGAGCUUCAAUCGUCUUGAUCAAUGAGCCUGUAUCAGGCUUUGAACAGGAGCUAUAGAUAUGUUAGUUCAUUUACUCAAUCCUGCAACAGUCCCACCUCCCAGAUUUAGAAACUGAGAUCUGAAAAGUUAAGUAAGACUUGGCCAAGACCAUAUACCUGAGAUGGCUUUCCUCCCCCAGAGCCUGUGACCUUUCACGAUGGUACCCGAGUAUAUUCCUGUGUUACUCUGCUUCCGACUCUGCCUCACAGCAUCCUUUGCCUCCUGGGUCCGUGAGACGUCUUCUAGGAAGUUCUAGUGGACAGUAAGAAAGACAAAUCCUCUGGUCUCCCUGGUCUCCCUGGUCUCUAGUUAUGGCAGCCUGCGUUCUCUUUGAAGACUGAGCUGUGUUACGGAACUCCCUCCUCCCCCGACUCUAACAGGCUUAGUGGCCUCUGUGAGGUCUGCCUCAAUCAGUGAAAGGACAGUAGGUCUCUGCUUCUGGCUGCCUCCGUGAAUGAUUUCUGCCCCGUAGUGGAAGAGUCACUGGUGGCUCGGCCUGAGAUGUCCUCUACCUGGUCAGCAUCCUCUGAUGUAACACCCCUAGACACAGUGAAUCUUGGAUAUGAAGCUGCUUCGAGUUUGAGCUUCACGUAGUGAGUGGUUUGGGCAGGUCCACUGUCCCUCCAGCCUCAGUUCCUUCAGCUGUUGAACUGAGGAGGAAGAGGUGGCUGAAUUAGUGGUUCUUUCUCCAUGGAAGUGAAGACUGACAAGUAUGCUCCAGUCCGUAGGAGCUCUAGGCAUUGUCUAUGGAUUAAAUAGUUUGUCCGUCUUGCGUAUAUACACAUGACUACAUUUCAAAUGUGUGUAAAGCUGUGUGAGAAAUAAAAUGCAAAUUCAUUUAAAGAU